ACAGGAUUUUUAUCUGUGGUAGCUUCAUCUCAGCAUCUAGAACAGGACCUGGCACAUCAAAGGAAGUCAAUACUUGUUGAAUGAAUGAACAAUGGAAAAAAUUGUUGAACACAAAUGGACUAUAGCUUCUUCUGUUUUCUAAGAAGGAGGGGUGAUGGCAACACAGUUUAUCCUUCCAAAGGAAGGAACAGCUGACACCACCAGCUAUUUCCCAACGUGCAGACUUGAAGCCCCCAAAGAGGAUAGGGCCUCCAGAAGCUCCACUUACGUCUGGACCUUGUGCUCCAAAGCAAACACAACCUAUCCGAUGGGUGGUGCAGAAAUAAGCUGAUGCAGCUUUCAUUGACCUUUCAGACUUGACCUUUCUCCUAUAAUCUCUAAUCUUGUUUUUAAUAAAUAUUUAACUUCUUG
This 411-nucleotide long non-coding RNA is filed under the name Vulpes vulpes (red fox). RNAcentral's name for it is "lncRNA (ENSVVUG00000022824.1)". The record is from RNAcentral. Lineage: Eukaryota; Metazoa; Chordata; Mammalia; Carnivora; Canidae.